RNAcentral lists this ribosomal RNA (483 nucleotides) under uncultured bacterium. RNAcentral describes it as "bacterial SSU rRNA". It matches the Rfam family "Bacterial small subunit ribosomal RNA", at positions 29 to 509 of the family's 1533-position model. The record is from RNAcentral.
ACGAACGCUGGCGGCGUGCCUAAUGAAUGCGAGUCGAACGGAGUGCAACAUCGGUCACACCUUCGGGUGCGACCUGGUUGCACUUAGUGGCGAACGGGUGAGUAACACGUGGGUAACGUGCCUCCGAGACGGGCAUAACAGAGGGAAACCUCUGCUAAUUCCCGAUAUGCUGCCGAUGCCUUGGCAUCGACCAGGAAAGCUCCGGCGCUCGGAGAUCGGCCCGCGGUCCAUUAGCUAGUUGGUGAGGUAAGGGCUCACCAAGGCGACGAUGGAUAGCUGGUCUGAGAGGACGAUCAGCCACGCUGGGACUGCGACAUGGUCCAGACUCCUACGGGAGUUAGCAUCCGGGAAUCUUGCACACUGGGCGCAAGCCUGAUGCAGCGACGCCGCGUGGGCGAUGAAGGUCUGCGGAUCGUAAAGCCCUGUCAGGAGGGAAGAAGCUCUGACUGUACCUCCAAAGGAAGCCCCGGCUAACUACGUGCC